RNAcentral lists this ribosomal RNA (215 nucleotides) under uncultured bacterium. Its description in RNAcentral is "partial 16S ribosomal RNA". It matches the Rfam family "Bacterial small subunit ribosomal RNA", at positions 1289 to 1500 of the family's 1533-position model. The record is from RNAcentral.
CAGUUCGGAUCGGAGUCUGCAACCCGACUCCGUGAAGCUGGAUUCGCUAGUAAUCGCGCACCAGCCAUGGCGCGGUGAAUACGUUCCCGGGCCUUGUACACACCGCCCGUCAAGCCAUGGAAGCCGGGGGCGCCCGAAGCCACUUAGCUAACCCUUUUGGGAAGCGAGUGUCGAAGGUGAAAUCAAUAACUGGGGUGAAGUCGUAACAAGGUAGC